This 429-nucleotide ribosomal RNA is filed under the name uncultured bacterium. RNAcentral's name for it is "bacterial SSU rRNA". It matches the Rfam family "Bacterial small subunit ribosomal RNA", at positions 97 to 520 of the family's 1533-position model. The record is from RNAcentral.
GGCGAACGGGUGAGUAAUACAUCGGAACGUGUCCUGGAGUGGGGGAUAGCCCGGCGAAAGCCGGAUUAAUACCGCAUACGCUCUAUGGAGGAAAGCGGGGGAUCUUCGGACCUCGCGCUCAAGGGGCGGCCGAUGGCAGAUUAGCUAGUUGGUGGGGUAAAGGCCUACCAAGGCGACGAUCUGUAGCUGGUCUGAGAGGACGACCAGCCACACUGAGACUGAGACACGGCCCAGACUCCUACGGGAGGCAGCAGUGGGGAAUUUUGGACAAUGGGCGCAAGCCUGAUCCAGCAAUGCCGCGUGUGUGAAGAAGGCCUUCGGGUUGUAAAGCACUUUUGUCCGGAAAGAAAACUUCGGAGCUAAUACCUCUGGAGGAUGACGGUACCGGAAGAAUAAAGCACCGGCUAACUACGUGCCAAGCCGCCGCGG